This 447-nucleotide long non-coding RNA is filed under the name Mytilus galloprovincialis (Mediterranean mussel). Lineage: Eukaryota; Metazoa; Mollusca; Bivalvia; Mytilida; Mytilidae. The record is from RNAcentral.
UUUUUUUUUGGGGGGGGGAGGAGGGGUGGUGUUUAUAUAACAGAAAUAUUGAAGGUCGAAUAUACCCCCUUUUCCAAGCAUAUAGUUAAAGGGCAGUGUUCUUUUCUAUAUAUUGGACAAAACUGACUGACAUCUAUUGCACUGCUUGUCAUAUUAAAACUAAUUAGUAAAACUAAUUACCCACCAACUAUCAUGACUGCCACGGUCGAUUGAUAAAAAGCGAAGAGUUAUAUUCUAUUUUUAUAACAUUACACUCUAAAAUAUUUUCCAUUCAUAAAACAAUCUUUGACCGAAUUUCGUAACAUGUCCAGUACCCGUUGAACGUGGAUACUGAUCUUUACUUUUGUGUACCUUACCAUGCCCUGCCCCUUUUGGUGACGUAGUACCAAUCACUCAAGUUUAUAAUGAUCUCAUAAAAAGAAAGGGAAUUUCCUGAUUAAAUGCCCA